This 473-nucleotide ribosomal RNA is filed under the name marine bacterium SIMO-4499. RNAcentral describes it as "bacterial SSU rRNA". It matches the Rfam family "Bacterial small subunit ribosomal RNA", at positions 56 to 510 of the family's 1533-position model. The record is from RNAcentral.
UGCAAGUCGAGCGAACUGAUUAGAAGCUUGCUUCUAUGACGUUAGCGGCGGACGGGUGAGUAACACGUGGGCAACCUGCCUGUAAGACUGGGAUAACUUCGGGAAACCGAAGCUAAUACCGGAUAGGAUCUUCUCCUUCAUGGGAGAUGAUUGAAAGAUGGUUUCGGCUAUCACUUACAGAUGGGCCCGCGGUGCAUUAGCUAGUUGGUGAGGUAACGGCUCACCAAGGCAACGAUGCAUAGCCGACCUGAGAGGGUGAUCGGCCACACUGGGACUGAGACACGGCCCAGACUCCUACGGGAGGCAGCAGUAGGGAAUCUUCCGCAAUGGACGAAAGUCUGACGGAGCAACGCCGCGUGAGUGAUGAAGGCUUUCGGGUCGUAAAACUCUGUUGUUAGGGAAGAACAGGUACGAGAGUAACUGCUCGUCCCUUGACGGUACCUAACUUGAAAGCCACCCCUAACUACGUGCCA